This 72-nucleotide transfer RNA is filed under the name Lepisosteus oculatus (spotted gar). It matches the Rfam family "tRNA". From Rfam's summary of the family: Transfer RNA (tRNA) molecules are approximately 80 nucleotides in length. Their secondary structure includes four short double-helical elements and three loops (D, anti-codon, and T loops). Lineage: Eukaryota; Metazoa; Chordata; Actinopteri; Semionotiformes; Lepisosteidae. The record is from Rfam by way of RNAcentral.
AGGGUUAUAGCUCAGUGGUACAGCGCAUGCUUUGCAUGUAUGAGGCCUUGGGUUCAAUCCCCGGCAUCUCCA